This 1770-nucleotide long non-coding RNA is filed under the name Sus scrofa (pig). Its description in RNAcentral is "lncRNA (ENSSSCG00050005830.1)". The record is from RNAcentral. Lineage: Eukaryota; Metazoa; Chordata; Mammalia; Artiodactyla; Suidae.
GGGGUGCUAGAGCUAUUCCACACAGGUUUGACUCUCUGCCACCUAUAGGUGGAGCGAGGGAGCAUGAGUUGUCAUCUGUUCCUCGUGAGAGAAAAGAGAUUCAGUAACUACAAGAGUGGAAGUGGCAUCUUCCUGUUAUUUGGUGUGACUUUGGCCCCAGUGGAAGAGACUACAGCUAUAGAAGUGAAUCAUAGCUUUUCAAUCCAGUGAAGAUCUUUGUUAUUGUAAGAAGUGGAUAGUGGUACCCAUAUCCUUGAAGAUGCAGGAGUAGAGUGAUGGUUUAGAAAUAGAUAUCUCACUUCUUUGACCUUCUGGUACCCCAUUGUUAUGGUUGGAGUGCACACAAGCCACUGAAACAAUGUAUCUUACAGUAAAUUGCCCUAUUAAGUGGUUUAUAUCUGAUUUUUACCAGAUACUACCAUUUUGAGGCAGUGGAGACACCCAAGUUUGUUCCAAAACAUGGCUGACAGAUUAACACUUUGAAUUCACAAAUGUGGCUCAGUGUGAUGUGUGUGCAUCCUUCAGGGAGCAAAAUCUGAGGCUAUUCCCAGAAAUGCCAGGGUGCUGCUCUGUAGGGCUGGAAAUAAGCAAUGGACACAUCCUCACAGUAAAUCUUCGUUGCUUUUAUCACCCUCCUUGCAGAACUUUCUGUGGGAUCCAGAUUGCUUUGGUCUACUGGACAGAAUUCCAUAUUCUAGAUCUUUCCAUUUUCUUAUGACUCCAGGUUUGAUGAUUCAAUGGAUGGGAACUAAGAUUGUCUGCUGCUAUCUUGCUGUCUUAAAUGUGGAUUUUGUCUCAACACUGCCAAUCUUAAAGCAUGAAUGCCCCUGGCACAGGCUCUAGGAGAUGGUUGGAGGAAUGAGUCUUUCAUAGAACUGUGAAAGAAGUGCAGCCAAAUCAGGGCAAAGCAUGGGAGAAGAGAGGGAAGCAUGUGUGAGGCCAGGAAUAUUUGGUGCAGAGGUGGCACUUAGGUCUCUUUUUACUUCAGGCAACGAUGUUUUCCCCUCUGCUAUGCUUUUGUGAGAAAGUCAAGUUUCAAAUAAAAUAGCAAAUAACCCUAAUGAAGCAGCAAUUUAGCUUGAAUCAGCAAUAUUCUACAUACAUUUGCCUCACAGUGUGACCCGAGCAAACCUCCCCUUCGUGAGAAGGAGCAGGCACCUCAUUUGCUGCCUUUGGCUGAAGAUUUGCCAUAUUUAAGAGAACAAACAUGAUUUCCCUAGAAUCUAACUUCUAAUGUGCUAUGGUCAGACUAAGCUUUUAUAUUAGUCAUAUGGCAUUUUCCUCAGAGCCCACAUGGAAAACCCACUGUCUCGUCCUACUGAAUGUUCUGUGCAAAGUAUCAUCAAAGAAGCCAAAUGCCCUGAACUCCAUGGGAGAAAACCGCAGAGGACACAGUUCUGGACCUGAUUCCUGAGCAGGCUUGCUCAGAUCCCCCAGUGCCUCUCUGCCCAGGAUCAUCUCCAGGACCAGGGCAGGGCCCAGAACAAAUCCUCACCUCCACCCCCUAGUUUUUUUUUUUUUUUAGGGCUGCACCCCCAGCAUUUGGAAGUUCCCAGGGUAGGGGUCAAAUUGGAGCUACAGCUGCCACCCUACCCCACAGCCACAGCAACUGGGUUAACAAUCCGGUGUUGCCGUGAGCUGUGGUGUAGGUUGCAGACGCGGCUUGGAUCCAGCGUUGCUGUGGCUCUGGCGUAGGCUGGUGGAUACAGCUCCGAUUAGAUCCCUAGCCUGGGAACCUCCAUAUGCCAUGAGAAUGGCCCAAGAAAAUGG